RNAcentral lists this ribosomal RNA (245 nucleotides) under uncultured Alphaproteobacteria bacterium. RNAcentral describes it as "partial 16S ribosomal RNA". It matches the Rfam family "Bacterial small subunit ribosomal RNA", at positions 524 to 768 of the family's 1533-position model. Lineage: Bacteria; Pseudomonadati; Pseudomonadota; Alphaproteobacteria. The record is from RNAcentral.
UACAGAGGGUGCAAGCGUUGUUCGGAAUUACUGGGCGUAAAGGGCGCGUAGGCGGUUUUGUAAGUUGGAUGUAAAAGACCUGGGCUUAACCUGGGGAAUGCGUACGAUACUGCAAGACUAGAGUGUAGGAGAGGAUAGUGGAAUUUCCGGUGUAGAGGUGGAAUUCGUAGAUAUCGGAAGGAACACCAGUGGCGAAGGCGGCUAUCUGGUCUACAACUGACGCUGAGGCGCGAAAGCGUGGGGAG